RNAcentral lists this ribosomal RNA (1305 nucleotides) under Triticum aestivum (bread wheat). Its description in RNAcentral is "partial small subunit ribosomal RNA". Lineage: Eukaryota; Viridiplantae; Streptophyta; Magnoliopsida; Poales; Poaceae. The record is from RNAcentral.
AUGACAGUGCCGUGGGCGACCACUCCGGCGCCGCGGCCACCUACCACCGCAUCAAGAAAGCAUUCGAGUGGAGGGGGUAUGAAACAGGAUGUCAACGACUUCGUGCGGCAAUGCCAAGUCUGCCGGCAAGCCAAGCAUGAAUUGUGCAAGCCAGCGGGCAAAUUGGCACCACUGCCAAUCCCAACAGCACCUUGGCAAGUUAUUGAAGGAUUACCCAAGUCAGAGGGGUAUGAUGCAAUCAUGGUGGUGGUCGACCGCUUCACAAAAUUUGCCCACUUCGUGCCCCUGCGGCACCCGUUCACGGCGACACAGCCGGCGCGCGUGUUCUGGGACAACGUCGUCAAGCUCCACAGCAUCCCAGCAUCUAUUGUCAGCGACCGCGACAAGGUCUUCACAAGCGCGCUCUGGCGCGAGCUGCUGGCCAGCGCGGGCACCAAGCUCCUCUACUCCACCGCCUACCACCCCCAGACAAAUGGACAAAGUGAACGCGUCAACCAGUGCAUGGAAAUGUACUUGCGUUGCGCUGUUCACGACACCCCCCGGCAAUGGCGACGAUGGCUUCCCUCUGCUGAAUUCUGGUACAAUUCCUCAUUUCACUCCUCACUGGGCUGCUCUCCCUUCAAGGCGUUGUAUGGGGUAGAAGCCAACGAGGGGAGCAUGGCCACCUGGCCGGCAUCCCAACCAACCUUGCCGGACGGCAAGCAGUGGGAUUGGUCGCUGCAUCAAGAGAACUUGCACGCUCACCUGACACGGGCGCAGAGCAAGCACAAGAAGUUUGCUGACAGGAACCGGACCGAGCAGGUGUUUCAAGUCGGGGAUCAAGUUCUUCUGAAGCUUCAGCCAUAUGUGCAAAAAUCGGUAGCAAGUUGUCCCUGUCCGAAGCUGGCAUUCAAGUUCUUUGGCCCUUUCUCCGUCAUCGCCAACAUCGGACCCUCGGCGUACAAGUUGGAUCUUCCUGCUGACAGCAAAAUCCACCCAGUGUUUCACGCCUCGCAGUUGAAACCUUUCACACCCAACUACAGCCCAGUGUUUUCUGAACUACCUGUCAUUACCGAUCUGUCGACUGAAGAAACACUGCCAGUGGAAAUCUUGGACAGAAGGAUGAUGAAGAAGGGCAAUGCACCGGUGAUUCAGCUUCAAGUGGCUUGGGACACGGUUCCCCCGUCUACUACCUGGGAGGACUACGACGUACUUCGCCGGCGCUAUCCUCAAGCAACUAUUUGGGAGAACGAAGCCAUGAAGGAGGGGGUUCAUUCUCAAGGAGGGGAGAAUGUCACUACGGUUGUGCACGGCACCACCGAGUGA